This is a non-coding RNA of Podarcis lilfordi (Lilford's wall lizard), 74 nucleotides long. NCBI's taxonomy places the organism in Eukaryota, Metazoa, Chordata, Lepidosauria, Squamata, Lacertidae. The record is from the annotation of a GenBank genome assembly.
GCUUCUGCAGCUCAGUUGGUUAGAGCGUGGUGCCGAUAACAUCAAGGUCCCAGGUUUGAUUCCUGUAUGGAGCA